RNAcentral lists this ribosomal RNA (467 nucleotides) under uncultured bacterium. RNAcentral describes it as "partial 16S ribosomal RNA". It matches the Rfam family "Bacterial small subunit ribosomal RNA", at positions 28 to 506 of the family's 1533-position model. The record is from RNAcentral.
GACGAACGCUGGCGGCGUGCUUAACACAUGCAAGUCGAACGGAAAGGCCCUGCUUUUGUGGGGUGCUCGAGUGGCGAACGGGUGAGUAACACGUGAGUAACCUGCCCUUGACUUUGGGAUAACUUCAGGAAACUGGGGCUAAUACCGGAUAGGAGCUCCUGCUGCAUGGUGGGGGUUGGAAAGUUUCGGCGGUUGGGGAUGGACUCGCGGCUUAUCAGCUUGUUGGUGGGGUAGUGGCUUACCAAGGCUUUGACGGGUAGCCGGCCUGAGAGGGUGACCGGGCAGAUUGGGACUGGGAUACGGCCCAGGCGCCGACGGGAGGCAGCAGUGGGGAGUGUUGCACAAUGGGCGGAGGCCUGAUGCAGCAACGCCGGGUGCGGGAUGAGGGCCUUCGGGUUGUAAACCUCUUUCGCCUGUGACGAAGCGUGAGUGACGGUAAUGGGUAAAGAAGCACCGGCUAACUACGU